This 400-nucleotide ribosomal RNA is filed under the name uncultured bacterium. RNAcentral's name for it is "bacterial SSU rRNA". It matches the Rfam family "Bacterial small subunit ribosomal RNA", at positions 29 to 454 of the family's 1533-position model. The record is from RNAcentral.
AACGAACGCUGGCGGCAUGCCUAACACAUGCAAGUCGAACGAGACCUUCGGGUCUAGUGGCGCACGGGUGCGUAACGCGUGGGAACCUGCCUUUAGGUUCGGAAUAACUCAGAGAAAUUUGAGCUAAUACCGGAUAAUGUCUUCGGACCAAAGAUUUAUCGCCUUUAGAUGGGCCCGCGUUGGAUUAGCUAGUUGGUGGGGUAAAGGCCUACCAAGGCGACGAUCCAUAGCUGGUCUGAGAGGAUGAUCAGCCACACUGGGACUGAGACACGGCCCAGACUCCUACGGGAGGCAGCAGUGAGGAAUAUUGGACAAUGGGCGCAAGCCUGAUCCAGCCAUGCCGCGUGCAGGAUGACGGGUCCUAUGGAUUGUAAACUGCUUUUGUACAGGAAGAAACACU